UACGUAGGGUGCAAGCGUUGUCCGGAAUUAUUGGGCGUAAAGAGCUCGUAGGCGGUCUGUCGCGUCGGCUGUGAAAUCCCGAGGCUCAACCUCGGGUCUGCAGUCGAUACGGGCAAACUAGAGUAUUGCAGGGGAGACUGGAAUUCCUGGUGUAGCGGUGAAAUGCGCAGAUAUCAGGAGGAACACCGAUGGCGAAGGCAGAUCUCUGGGCCGUAACUGACGCUGAGGAGCGAAAGCAUGGGGAGCGAACAGG
RNAcentral lists this ribosomal RNA (253 nucleotides) under uncultured bacterium. RNAcentral's name for it is "partial 16S ribosomal RNA". It matches the Rfam family "Bacterial small subunit ribosomal RNA", at positions 524 to 776 of the family's 1533-position model. The record is from RNAcentral.